UACGCACACUUCAAACCAGAUCAAUAAAACUCCCUUGUUACAAUCAAACUUUUAAUAAAGCAAAUAAUUUUUUCAAUAAACCUUCUAAAUGUUUUUUCCUCUCCCUACUCUACCUUUUGAGCAAGCAAAAUUUGCACUGGACGGCCGUCUUCGAUAAAUCCAAUCUCAUCUUUUAAAACCCUAAUUCGUCCAUCCGACUCUGAAACUAUUGCUGCCGCUUCUCCUUUUUCGAAUCUAUGAUCACUUCCUCUAGGAUGUUCAUACUGAUGCACCCCAUCGUUGACAAAUGUACACAAGAAGAGAAAUCCGUUAUUUCUCAAUAAUGAAGAACUUUGUCUCAGCAACGCACGGUUUAAGAAUCGAAUUUGUAGAACUAAAUCGUAUUUGUAAACAUCACCUUCUGGAACGUUUUGAAAAUCAGCUAGCAUAUCUGCCAAAGAGAUUGCCGUUGCGUUUGGCUCUUGUUUUCCAUCUCUAGUAUACAAUUUCCAUAAUCCCGAUGCAUCUACUUUAGCAACUUUUUUUCCUUCUAUCCUAUCCUCUAGACCUAAACCGCUGAAAAGCUCCGAAAAUCUUUGAAUCGCGCGCUUUUCAGCAUCUAAUGCAGAAACCAUCCAAUGUUUACCGCUCUCUCUAAAACAUAUCCAUGCCAAAUCCCUCCCAGAUCCACAUCCAAUGUCUAAAACUCUUGCAUUAUUUGUCUUUAUUCCUUUUUCAACGACUGGCAUGACCUCUUUUAAAUACGGACAUGGUUCAAAUAGUAAAUUUCGAUUUGGACCGCUUUCCAAAAGCUCAUUCUGAGGUAAAGAUAAAUCUUCCCAUAUUUUAUGACUGAACAUAAAGUGUCCAGCUAUAUUCCAUCCUCUCUUCUUCAAUUGUUGAGCGCAGGUUCCUGUCUCUUCCGUCUCUAUUUUAUCUCCCUGGUCUUCGACAACGAAGAGUUCCUCUUGCUUUGCUGGUAAUUGAUACCAGCAUUUAGAAAUUUUUUCACUUGGAAUAUUGACUGACUUUCGUAAAUGGCUGAUUUCGUACUUGGAUUGAGCACGAACAUCUAAACAUUUAAUCUCACCUCGAACCACGGCCUUUACGAGAUGUUUUGGAUCAUUUAAACUAUUCAUUUGCAUAUUCAAGGGUCACAUAAUCUUCAAUCGA
This 1152-nucleotide unclassified non-coding RNA is filed under the name Schizosaccharomyces pombe (fission yeast). RNAcentral's name for it is "antisense RNA (predicted)". Lineage: Eukaryota; Fungi; Ascomycota; Schizosaccharomycetes; Schizosaccharomycetales; Schizosaccharomycetaceae. The record is from RNAcentral.